Molecule: transfer RNA, 22 nt
Filed under: Dremomys rufigenis laomache
Lineage: Eukaryota; Metazoa; Chordata; Mammalia; Rodentia; Sciuridae
Description: partial tRNA-Leu
Source: RNAcentral
GGUGCAACUCCAAAUAAAAGUA